UAUAUACUCACUCCGUUCCGAAUUACUUGUCUUAGAUUUGUCUAGAUACGGAGGUAUCUAGCACUAAAAUGAGUCUAGAUACAUCCGUAUCUAAACAAAUCCAAGAAGUAAUUCUGAACGGAGGAAGUAGAAA
This is a non-coding RNA of Triticum aestivum (bread wheat), 133 nucleotides long. NCBI's taxonomy places the organism in Eukaryota, Viridiplantae, Streptophyta, Magnoliopsida, Poales, Poaceae. The record is from Rfam.